RNAcentral lists this small RNA (147 nucleotides) under Macaca mulatta (Rhesus monkey). RNAcentral describes it as "Metazoan signal recognition particle RNA (ENSMMUG00000056733.1)". Lineage: Eukaryota; Metazoa; Chordata; Mammalia; Primates; Cercopithecidae. The record is from Rfam by way of RNAcentral. RNAcentral also lists the same sequence under 1 other name.
GCUGGGCGUGGUGGCACACGCCUGUAAUCCCAGCUACUCGGGGGCUGAGGCAGGAGAAUUGCUUGAACCCAGGAGGUGUAGGUUGCAGUGAGCUGAGAUCACACCACUGCACUCCAGCCUGGGCGACAGAGCGAGACUCUGUCUCAA